RNAcentral lists this ribosomal RNA (1621 nucleotides) under Capsicum annuum. RNAcentral's name for it is "bacterial LSU rRNA". It matches the Rfam family "Eukaryotic large subunit ribosomal RNA", at positions 1593 to 3288 of the family's 3401-position model. Lineage: Eukaryota; Viridiplantae; Streptophyta; Magnoliopsida; Solanales; Solanaceae. The record is from RNAcentral.
UUCAAACAGGAAUGGGGUUAAAAUUUCUGAACCAGGACAUGGCGGUUAACAACAUUAUUAGAAAGUCUAAAGAUAUUGGUGGGAGCUUCAGGAAAAGUUAUCUUUUAUGUUUAAAACCCUUCCCACCCUUGAAUCGGCUCAGCUGGAGGUAGGGUCCAGCGGCUGAAGAGUACCGCACAUCAUGUGGUGUCUGGUGUGCUCUCGGUAGCCCUUGAAAAUCUGGAGGACGGAAUGUUAUCCACGCCCGAUCGUAUGGGACAUAGUAGGCAAGGGAAAUCGGAAAAAUAGAUUCAUAACUUUGGGAAAAGGAUUGGCUCUGAGGGCUAGGCAAAACCGCCGGCUAUCAGUGGACCACUCGAGCUGCUCCCAAGGCGAGAGCAGGAUCCGUGGACCAGCUGGGGGACAGACUGGGAACGGUUCCUUCGGUGGCCUUCCCUACAUGUAGAUCAACAAACUCAGAACUGGUACGGAUAAGGGAAUUCGACUAUUUAAUCAAAACAAAGAAUUUCGAUGGUCCCAACGGAUGUUCAUGCAAUUUGAUUUUCGCCUAGUGCUCUAAAUGUCAAAGUGAAUAAAUUUAACAAAGCGCGGGUAAACGGCAGGAGUAACUAUGACUCUCUUAAUAUAGCCAAAUGCCUCAUCAUCUAAUUAGUGAUGCGCAUGAGUGGAUUAAUGAGAUUUCCAUUGUCCUUGUCUACUAUCCAACGAAACAACAACCAAGGGAAUUGGCUUGGCAGAAUCAGCAGGGAAAAAAGACCCUGUUGAGCUUGACUCUAGUCCUACUUUUUGAAAUGACUUGAGAGGUGUAGUAUAAGUGGGACCCAAAAGGCAAAAGUGAAAUACCACUACUUUUAAUGUUAUUUUACUUAUUUCGUGAAUUAGAAGAGGGGCACUACUCAUCUUUUUGGACCCAAGGCUCGCUCUGUAGGCUAAUUCGAGCAGAAUACAUUGUCAGUUAGGGAGUUUGGCUAGGGAAGCACAUCUAUUAAAAGAUAACGCAGGUGUCCUAAGAUGAACUCAAUGAGAACAGAAAUCUUGUGUGGAAAAGAAGGGUAAAAGCUUGUUUUAUUCUAAUUUCCAGUACGAAUACAAACCAUGAAAGCGUGGACUAACUAUUAUUUAGAUCUUUGGAAUUCGAAGAUAGAGGUGUCAGAAAAGUUACCACAGGGAUAACUAGCUUGUGGUAGCCAAGAGUUCAUAGCGACGUUGCUUUUUUAUACUUCUAUGUCGGGUCUUCCUAUCAUUGUAAAGCUGAAUUCACCAAGUAUUGGAUUUUUCACCCACCAAUAGGGAACGUGAGUUUGGUUUAGACCAUCGUGAGAUAGUUUAGUUUUACCGUACUGAUAACAGUGCCGCAGUAUUAAUUCAACCAAGUAUGAGAGGAACCAUUGAUUCACAUAAUUGGUUAUUGCGCUUGGUUUAAAAGCCAGUGGUGUGAAGCUACUGUCUGUUGGAUUAUAAAUGAAUGCCUAUAAGUAAGUUUCCAGGCUAUAAUUGAUGCAUGCGCCGGUGGUCUGCUUGGCAACCCGCAGUAGGGGCCACGGCCCCCAAGAGCAUCGUUGGCUAAGCCAAAACUGCAGAAGGUUUGUGGUGGCCGCCUUGAAGUACAAUCUCCAUCAAG